Cydia fagiglandana is the source of this 10400-nucleotide long non-coding RNA. RefSeq lists it as uncharacterized. The transcript is spliced from 2 exons. Lineage: Eukaryota; Metazoa; Arthropoda; Insecta; Lepidoptera; Tortricidae. The record is from RefSeq and is a predicted model, not a curated record.
UCCAUCGCUCCCCGACAGCCGCUCCUUCAGAGGGAUGAAACGCUCCGAGAAUCCCUGACCUUUAACUUAUCAUUCGAGCGAUGUCUCCAUGAUGCGUUGUAACCAACAGGGCGUGCAAAUUAACAUACCGACCGAUCUAACACUUUCGUUAAGGACAAAAAAGCUUUAAAUAGUGACCAAAUUAAAUAUACCUACUGUUGUUCAUUUCAAUGAACGGCGCCCUUGAUAAAACAAAUACAUAUAUUAAGCUUCAUAAUUAGUUGCCGACCUUCUAUUGUUGUAACGUGAACUGUAAUUAGCAAAUAAAUUUGCCAAACUCAAUCUGUUAAACCAAUUUGGCCAUGAUUGGCGUAAAUAAUGAACAAGCUAAAGGUAAAUUAAUCACUGCGCCCGACUGCUUGUCCAUCAAACAAUUAGUGUUCCUAUAAUGUAUUUAUACUCGUAUAUGAAGCAGUACUUGCCUAGAGUUAUGAAAUAGUUUUCAUUUUUAUUUAGUCAAUGGGGUGGAGCGCGGGUCGGCGGCGCGACGUACGCACCGCAUGGCUAGGGUUACCACCAACAGAUAUAGUCUAAUAAAUAAACAGGCACCUAACAGCCUUAAUUAAGGAUCAGUAGUCAAGAUUGCUAGCAUAGUUUAAUCUAACACGGCGUUAAGCGUGUCAUGAGCCUUCCAAAAUAAAAUUCUUUAUCUACGAUAAGCGGGUGGUAACCCUGACUGUGGCGGCAGGCAGGGCCGCGCCAAACAGACAGCAUGCCUUUAGUUUGAGCGUGCAUUAUUAGAAAUGUUAAAGUAACUGGCAAUAAAGUAACCGUAGAACAACGAUGACACAACCCUUAUUAAAUAUAAUACAAAAUGCGCAUUGCUCCGUCAGCUGCAUGAGUAUUUUUGCACUUGAAAGGACGGCUACACACAGUGCCUAACGGCACAGAGGCGCAAGUUAUUUCCAAUUGACUGAACACCGCGUUUCACAGGUUUUCCAAGGGUUGUGUACUCGGUGACGUAGAAUAAGCUAGAGAUAACUAGGCUAUGAGGCGAGCGCGGCUCGCGAAGAGGGUAUUCGAAAAGCAAUAAUAAUGUAGGCACUAAAAUGUCGCGCACCGCAGUCGAAAUGACGCAGUCUUGAUAAUCCCGUAGUCCGUAGAGUAGAUCACCCGCGCGUCGACCUCACAGGAUGAAAAGAACACACAUCUCCCGAUUUUUUUAAAUACGCACCAUGACCAACCACAAAACUAGCCUAAAUUAUAAAUAAUGUUAUAAAUUAACAAGUUACAAUGUUUUGAGUCACGUUUCUUAAAUGAUGUGAUACAUGAUAAUUCAGUGUUGGUUACGAAAGUAAUUGGUUCACGUUAUUGAGUUAGAACCCAAAAAAAAAAUUCUGUUACCAUUUUUUAACAUCAUAAUUUUGGUUUUACCUUAAAUGUAAAAUGGAGUCUGUUAUCGGGAUGAAAAUGUGUGUUGUGAAGUCAUAGGCCAUUGAAGGGAAAGUUACCAGCACCAUAGUGUAUAGGAAUGUAGGGACGUAGACCAGGGUACUUUCAGGGGGCCUGGCCGUGCUGUAAGGUCGAUGACCCUUCUAUACUAUCAAUUGUGGUAAGUUUACCCUCCAUUAUCAACUGUUUUGGAGUCUUGACGCAGUUUGAUUUUGUAAGACCAAUUAUUUUUUCACUAGGUCUACAGAAUAAAAUGGCCUACGAGCUCAAGUUCCGUAAUGGUCCUACUUUGCUCCUUGGUGGGUAAUUAUGCUCCAAUUUAAAAAAUGACUUAACUUCUAAUAUAACCAUCCAUAAUAUUUCUAUAUUAUUAUUUAAUGUAUACCAUGUAUACUCAGAUGAACGAAAUUGUAUAAUGUAUGCAGUCUGUGGCCUGUAAUACGAGCAAAAAAUUUAACUGUAGGCUGUACUCGUCAUACAGCAGCAAAAAUACCUCCAACAAUGAAUAUCUUCUGCUCCUUAUUCAGAGCUUCGUUAUAUAUAAAACAACAUUUCAUAAAGUUGAUUUAAGUACCUAUAAAAUAUGCCACAUAAGAUUUCUUCUUCAUGUUCAAUUUGUCAGAAUAUUUAAAUAAUGAACUGUUUAAAAAAAUUCAACAUUUCCUUAAAGUGGAACCAAUUUUGGAGCAAAGUAGGACCAUUUUACGGUUUUAAAGAUCUUGUUUCCAGAGAGUAGACAAAAGAAUAACAUAUUUUUACGACAUUAUAUAAUUUCACUUGUUAUAAAAAUACAUUUAGGCGUCUUUGCGUUAUAGGAAAUAACAGUCCACAUUAUUAUUAACAUUACGCGAAAAUGUAUAACAAAGCGCUCCAUGUUUUUUUAACUGAAGUUAAUCAUGAAAUUAUUCUUCGAGCAAAAUAAAAGAAUGGGGUUACAUUAGCGACACUCUGGGGUAACAUUAUAUAUACAAGUUAACAUUAAGUAGCCAGUUAUAGGGAAAAUUUACCACAGUUGAUUUUAAGUAGUUAGUGCCUCACAAGUCAAUUCGUCGUUGGUGGAUUUAAUUUAAGCCUGUCAAUUACCGUCUUUUUAAAAGAUGUAGUUCCUGUUUCAAUUAAAAAUCUGAUUAACUAAUUUAGUUCAGUUGAAGUGUUCUAAAUGGUUGUUGUUAUUUUGGGGAAGGCAACAAAAAGGGGUAUGAUGUUUUAAUUAUAUUCUGACUUCUUGGUUUUGAAGUAUCUAAAUGAGUGGGAUCACGUGAACAUUGGUUCGUAAGGUAUGAAUAACUUCGAAAUAAAAUGCACGAACUUUGUCACAAAUAUUAUAAGAUACAGGCAUGUAACCAAGUAUUAAGCCAGCAAUUGUUGGUACAAUUUUACUGUAAAAACCAAUAAUUUUGAUACAUUUAAGAAAAUUGUUAGUCUAUGUUUACGUUGCUGGUUGCCAUUCCCCUUUAAACCACCGCAAACAGUUUGGACCGUCGGAGAGCUCUGCGUGUUGGAGAUCGAAGCACGCCCUGCGUCUGACUCUAGCGCAGAGAUCGGUCUCUCUCUGCGGCUUCCGUUGCAUGGACUAACACAAAGCCUAGGGAGGCACUGGACUCGAUCCUAGACGUAUAUUCCCAUUCCUACUAGUAGUUGUAGUGCCACAUUUUAAAUCUAGUAUUUAAUAUUUCCCCUAGUAAUCACUAUUGAGUAUCAUUUGGUUUACCUUUUUUGAUAGUUUUAACUGACGAUGGUCGCGCGUAAAAGCAAUAUAAUGUAAAUGAAUAAGCAAUACUAUUGUAGGAUAUAAUAUGUAGUACGUAUUUAUUGUUUAAUCGAGAAAUUUUGUAGAUUUUUAGAUAUUUUUGGUGCUUUGGAGUACUAUAUUGAAAUUUGAAUCGAAUCUGACAUCGAAUAUUGAGUAAAUUAUAAAGUAAUUGUUUUUAUUAUUGACUAGGUGGUAGGUUUAUAUCUGUUUCGAAGUUCGUUUCUCUUUCUCCUUCUCAGUAGAACUAUCUGCGAGUACUCCUUCGCAUCUCCCUCGAUCUCUUAUAAACUCUAGUUGUCCUGUCCCGAUCGUCUUAUGUACUUAGAAAUCGCAAGAUGCUUUUAAAUAAAAGUCUAAAGCAAAGUAUUUUAUUCAAAUAUUUAUACUAACGUUAUUGUAAUUGUAGCGAAUACGAAUAAGUAACGUAACUAACGAAACCAACUUAUAUACAAAAAUAUAUACAAUUAAUUGUAAAUAUUUCCCUGUGUACCAAAAUUUUCCUUCUUUACAAUUUUUGUAGGUGUAGUAUUAAAUACCUUUUAUAGUAGGUAAAAAGAACAGUUAUAUAUAGAUUAUAACUUUAUAACUUAGUGAGUCACGUCUAGUCUCGUUAGUGUACACGGAGACUGCUUUGCUGCGGUGAAUAUCGCAAAUGGCAGAUACACUGCAAAGCGGUCGAGCCACUCAUAAUUAAUGUAAUUGACAUUUAAGCAAUAUUGAUAAAAAAAGAAUCAUUGAGGUUUCCAGUAAAAAUGAUUACAUGAAGUGCUUAAGAUGUAUUAAAAGUCACUGACUUUUAAAAUAUAACUGACAUUUAUAUAAAAAUGAAAUUAACAUUUAGGUACCUACCUACUGAUCAAAAAUUUGUCAGUAUGGAUUUCUCAACGAAGUAUGAAUUCUACAACGAAGAACAGGUGAAAAACAAUGUUACUUAAAUUAACGGGAUAAUUUGAUUGCUUGUUUGAAUAUUAUGAAUCUAAAUGACUUUACAUAAGUACAUAACAUCAAUGUUUUCUGUAUGGGCUACAACGAAUAAAUUAUUACAUAUAAAUUAUAUUCUAAUACCUAAGUACGUACUGCCCGUCAAUCUAAGUAACGUAUACAACAAAAAAAAAAGAAAAAAGAUGAUAGGUAAGAUUGCAAAUACAGUGAUAAACAAAAAAUGUCCAAACUAGCAAUACACAAUUAACUUAAGCAAUAAAUACAUUAGAUUUAAUGUGACUACUAGGCCAUUACUAGCAUAUAGCAAUAUAUUAUAAGACUAAUAUUCUACAAGAGCAAUACCGAAGCAAUAUGCAAAUGUAAUUAAAAUAAGACAAAAGUCUUAAUUUACCAAAUGUUGCUGAUAAGUAGACUGUAAACAAGUGAUAAAUAUAAAUAAAAUGUGAAAAAAAGUCUUUUAAUUGGAAUCAUGAAUUAAGUAUUUAUACAUUGGUUUGAUAAUAAAUAUUCAAUUUACAUGUCAUUUUGAAAUCAAGAAUUAAAGCUAAUUAGUUUCUUUGCAUUGAAUGUCGUAAACUUUUUAAAUUGUUUAUUAGUUUUAGCUUAGUAAUAAAGUAUAUGCAAGCUUUGAUCGGGAUCCAAUACCUUGUAUAUGUAUACAAAUAUGUAUAAUGUCUCCUCCAUAUAUUGUUAUAUUCUUUACGUCGAAAUAAAUUAUCUGCACUAAGUAAUCUACUUCUGUGCAAAGCGUAAGGACGUAGGCUGUAGACGAAAAGUCGUUUAAAUGAAUUAAUUAGUUGAAAAUUAAAUUAAUAUUAUUUGAUGGGACAUUCAUCGAAUUGUUGAGAAGUUAUUUACUACAGUCGGUAGAACCUCAUAUAUUUUUUGAGUCGAGUAGUUCAACAUGUCCCGGUCGAGGCACGCAUAUACAGACACAUUCCAAUAUUUCCCCCAAUGAGCCUAUUAUGGUUUAACUGUACGAUAACUUCGAAAAACCAAAUAUUAUGUAAUAAUUCACCGAUUGUGAUGCGAGAUGUUAAAAGCAAUAUUUACAAAGUGUUUGUCAGUGAAUUUGGGAUAUGAUAUAUUCAGAGGCUUGUAAAUACACAUUAAUAUGGAAAAAAAUAAAACUGUUUCAUCCUAAUUAUAUCUGAUUGAUAUAUUAUGUACAAGUAUGGCAUAGAAAAAAAAAGUAUAAAAAUGUUGAUCUAAUAUUUCCGAUCCAUUGACUGUAGAUAUUGGCUUUAUUUUUCAAGCCUCUGAUGAGAUAAGGAAGAGUUAGUAUUACUAAAAGCAAUAAAAACAAGCAAUAUAAUAUCGAAGUUUUACAACGAAUCUUUUACUUAUAGUUAUUUUGCGUGUACAACGAAAUAAAAUGUUUACGUGUAGCACUAUAAGAUGGAAACAAAAUGAUCCCCGCAGAUAAUCAUAAUAGACCUACAUAUAAUAGAAAGCUCAUCGCAAAGUAUGCCUUACAAUUUACAUAAUUUCUGAAGAUUACUAAAAUAUGGAAAUGUAAUGUUAUUACAGAUGUCCGGAAUUUCUUUAACAUUUCGCAAGGGUUAUGGAGAAACUACAAAAGCACGGUUGUGCCUACACUUAUGUAUGUAGCGAUUUACACGAAACUUUCUGUAGAGAGUGCAAUUGCAACUCGGGGAUCAUUUUGUAGAACUAGCGAGACUAAUCCUAUAGAGUGGUCCACGACAAUAUGGCAUACAACAUAAAAUUGUAAGUAGUUUUAGAAAUAUUAUAGGCACAGUUGUCGUGGGCGUCUCUAAUUUUGGAAAGAUUUUUAUGGUUAAAAUGAAUUUUGAUCACAAGGGAUCUACGAUGUUUUAAAUAAGGAUCACAUGUCGCAGGUAUUUUUUGUGACGUGCAUUUUUGUGCUGUGUAUAUUAAUUAGUUUAAUGAAGGGCUUGAUUGUUAUUAUGUCUAAGUUUUAUUUGUAAAUAUCUGAUUUUACACAGUGACUAACCAAUGGCAAUGCCGCAUAUUAUGAUUUAAAAUUAAUUAUUAAGGGUGAGGGAAAUUAACUAAUACCUACAUUAUUAUUAUUUUAAUAAAAAUAGAUAUUCAAAUUUACGUAGGUAGGUACAGAAGUACCUUAUAAACAAAAGAUUGUUACUUUUUCACGAGUGUACAUUAAUGUAUUUAUGUAUCAGAUGUACCUAUGUACCUAUACGUUAAAUGUGCAAUAUUCAUUUAGUAUUUGUAUUUAAUUUAAAUUACCUAAGUUUGAAUCUUAUAUCGGUGCCUAAUAUUCAUUUUGUAAACACGUAGCACUGUGAUCAUGUAAAUUAUUACGGUAUAAUUAUUUUCUACAAAUCGCUUUUUGAACCAGGAUAAUCUAGCCUGUAGAAGGCCUAGUCAUUUAGAUUUAACAAGUAUUAUACCAUUAGAUGUAGAGUGAGGUGACGGAGUAAUGUGAUGCAAUCGUAGCGGUCGAGUAGGAAACAUUAGGAUGUGAAAGGUAUAGUAUAAUACACAGAAAAUUACUAAAUUGCCUUAUUUUUUGUGCGAGUGACCAAGUUAAAAAAUUAUUCCCGUUUUCAAGCAAUUUCAUGGGAUGGACACAAAGCAAAUCAAAGCUCAGUCAUUUUGUUAUGUAAAGGAAUUGAGAUGAAUUGAUCUAGAUCUUAAAUGUAAGGAUAAAAUAUUGGACAUAUAAGUAUUCACUUUACUCUAUACCUACGCACAUAUUAUAUGUGUUUAGGGUUAAAAAUCGUUCACUCGUACAAAAAGUUUGAAAAACCCUUAGCGUCCACAGCUAAGAUGCCGUGCAAUCGCUAUAUUUAAGAAGAUGUCGACCAAAUUCUCUAAUGAGUGUCUUUGGUAGCCUGACCCUGACCAACGGACGUACUUCUAAGGCCUUUGCGCAAUGCCGCAUAUUGUUUGAUGUUCGUCGUCUUUACUAGAAUAGAAAAGAAUAGAAUCCUUUAUUGCGAACCAUGGUACAUAAUCAAGUUGUUACAAUAAAAAUUUUUAGAACACAUGGCACCCUGGUAGGGCAUUGCAAAUUAAUCUUAUGUCUAGUUAUUUAUGGAACAUUUUUUUAAACUAAAUAGUGUUACGUAAUGCCGGCUACAUACGUAACGAUAAAUCGUUGCGAUAAAACUGUGCAGUCCGACUGUGCAGAUAAAUUUAAGUUAGCCGAUUAGCCGGUCCUGCUAAUUCAGUCUUAAAAUGGGUCUUCUUUCAUUAUUAAUAAUCUAUACACAUUAUUAAUCAAGGUCCCCCGCCGCGUAUGUAUGUUCGCUAUAAACUAAAAAACUUCUCAAUGGAUUAUCAUGCGGUUUUCAUCUUUCAAUACUUACUUAGUGAUUCUUGAGGAAGGUUUAGGUGUAUACUCGUACUUAAUUUGUUAAGGUGUUGUGUAACCCGUGCGAAGCCGGGGAGGGUCACUGAUUUUCUAAUAAUCUAAACUAAGUAAAGCUCGUUAUAUUUCAAAAUUCUGCUACCGUACUCUAUGCUUUAAAACAUAAUUUUGUGUCAGAAGUAGGUAUCUAUACAUUUACCUGUGUUUUUAUUAGUUCACAAAUAUACAACAGUUGCACUAAGACAUUACGUGGCAUCGCGCAAAGGCUUUUAGGAGUCAUACCCAUGUACAUUAAUGUAAAUAUAAGUUUAUUUUCAGCCCCAGUUCUGUCGUACCUUUCGAAAAUAACCAUUAAUCGUAGAACGUCAAUUUUUAAUUCAUCUAUUCCUUCCUAAUAAGCAAUUAUUAUAGUACCAAAAGUACCUACAGAGUUAGCAUAACAUUGCAUGGAAUAUAUAUUAUUAUAAAAUAUUAUAGCAAAUAAAAACGUAUGUAAAGUAAGCAUAUUGAAAUAUUUAAUUAUUCUUACUGUUGCAUUUGAUCUGUCGAAUUUAAAUUAUGUUCCUAACAAUUUAUUUUACCAGCAUUAAAAAAAUAGAAGUAGCAGUAUGCAAGUUUUGAUAGAAUAGUCCGGAUAUCCUCUAAUAAUCCAUUCAAUUAAUUAAUAAUAUAAUAAUAGCGCCACAAAAUUUGUACUUUUUAAUUACUAAAUAUUUGAAUUUUAUUUUAAGUAGAACCUGAAAUAAUGAGAAAUUUAAUAUUAUUAAAUUCUUAUCAAUAAUGUCUGCUUUAUUAAUUCGAUUCUCAUAAUUAAACUUAUUAACCACAAAGUAGCCAAGGUUCUACUCGUUACAAAAAUACAAUAAAAUAAACACACUUGAAAAACACCAAUAUACCUACUCAUACUUACAUAAGUUUUUUGAGGCUCUUACGAUAAAUAUCUACAAUAAAUAACAAUUUAAUUAAAUAGUGUCAUAAGUGUCAUAACUAAACUUUAUUAUGUUUAAAUACAAAAAAUAAAAAAAACAUACAACCGAAUUGAAUAACCUCCUUCUUUGAGAUUUGGAAGUCGGUUAAAAAGUUAAAUAUAUAAAUUAAAUAGAUUUCUAUUGGGUUCGCCAAAAAGUCUACUGAUACGUCAGUGAAUCCAAUAUGACUAUAGGUAAGUAUACCGUACCGUGUAACGGCCUUUAUUUAUGUGUAGUUAAUCGUUACAAUCUGCAUUAACCAGACAAUUUCCGCGCCACCCUUCAUCAAUAUUCGUUUACGUCAAGGUAAUAAUGGCCUAAGUGAUAAUUGAUGUGUACGACAUAUGUACGUUUUGCAACACAGGCAGUCAACUGAAUAAAAACCUGGUGAGGAAACCUGUUUGCAGUCGCGCAGAAUACGAAACUGUUCUAAUGGCAGCAUGCUUUUUGUUAUUGCCAACAAAACGAAUCCUAGUUUCGAUCAAACAAUUUAAAUUGGACAACCCUUGUUAGCCUAAGUCUAACAUUGGCACAAAACACUUUUUCCACCAGUUUAGCCCGAGCCUUUCGUUGAAGCUCUAUUUUUCAUUUAGGUAAAUACCGUUCGGGCUCGCGCCUCCAUCCGAAAGCCUUUGUGGCCAGUAACAAAUUGCUGCUGGAUUUAUGGCGCUUCAAUUUAAAUGGAAACGUCAAAAUAAAAGAACGCCUCGGAACCGAAUUGUUGCAGCUCUCAGAGCAAUCGUCGACAUUGAAUACGCAUACGAAUCCAACAAACAAUAACCAUUUAACGAUACAACGGAUUAUUGGACACGUUACUGUCUACAGAGUUUUAUCACCUUGGCUGCCAUGGGAGUAUCGUCUUGGGUCGUCCCAUUCGUUUUUCGUCAAGUUCUUAAAUUAGUCCUAUUCUGCUUUCGUCACCCAUUCUACAUUCGUCACAAUCGUCGUCUUUCAAUGUCGAAUGAGUGACGAAAGCAGAAUAGGACUAAUUUAAGAACUUGACGAAAAACGAAUGGGACGACCCAAGACGAUACCGCCAUGAGCAUCACCAGUGAGAUCACGAUCAAAAGCUCGAUUACCUAAUAGUAAUAUUCCGAUGCUGUGAGCAUCACCGGUGGGUCACUUAAUGUGUAUGGGGCGUGGGGGCAACAUUUUAGUAAAGUACGGUGGGCAGCCAACGUAAUUGCCUACUAAGCGAGGCGAAGGCUAGUUUUAAUAAGGAAAUGUCCGCGAACGGUUAGUACGUACCUAUAACAACUACCUGUGGAUAAAAGAAUAUAAGAUGACCCUAAGCGUUUAUGUAGUUACAGAACAUUCUGUGUACACUUAAUAUAACAUAUACCUAACUCAAGCGCAUCACUUUCAUGGGUAGGUAUAUUUGGCGAAUUGGAAUUCCGGAUAAUUAUUUGGUGAUUUCUACCAGAAAGUGUUUCAGAAUAGUGUUCCAGUAUUGACCCGGACAUAAGUCAUAAUUUUAACAUGGCACAUUAGACAUUACAUCUCAUAAAUAAAAGUUAUUUAUAAUAAAUACGUAACCUAUACAAUAUUUUGCAAAAAAUGUUGCCUUUGGUGAACUAGCUUCAGAACUACUGAAAUACUCUUCAAUAUUAAUUAAGAUUGGCCAUUAAAGUAUGGUUUAAGUUUUAAGUAAAAUAUGAUUUCAAUACAACACCAAAAAAAACAAUACAUGUUUUUGUUAAUUAAUAUUUUUAUUAUAGUUUCCUUUAUUUUGUGCUGUUUGUAAAAGUAUGAAUCAGAAAUUAAAACCUGAGUCGUAUGACUAGUAGUUCUUUGGUUAUACGUAGUUCAAAAGUCUAUUAAAUUAAUAGUAGUGACCUAGAGCACAAAGUUAUGGCGUUAUAAUAGUUUUACAAUUUUAGUGCGGUAAGUUGCGUUGAUUGUGAGCUACAAGUGUUUUGUUGCAUUCUGCAUUUUGAUUUUAGAGUUAGAAUUGUUUCAAUACUCAUAAAAAUAAAAUUGUAUUGUAUAA